UACUAAGGACUCUGGAGAGUACAGAAGAACGAUAAACAGACACCCCGUUACGGCCUGCCGCGCAGCAGUUGCUUGGACGUCCUCUUAUUCUAUCCAUUCUCCUCAUAUAUUCCACCCAAAGAGACUGUGCUGGAUGAUCAUUGCGUCAAUAUUGGUGACCCGCCUGUACUCUGCGAUUGUGACGCGGGAGACCGUCUCGCUUUCUGAUCGUACGUAUAGCCGUACGUGGCACUUAUCAAACUGCUAAAGGGGCAAAAUCCCAUCUCCGGAAAGUUUGCGAUCUCCCUUUCGGCAGAGUCGCCUUCAAACCGAAGGGCAGGUGUCACACGAAGCCCGACGCUUCCACGUUACGACAGCUUUGCAGACCUUUUCAUUUAAAAGGAAGCCGACGACUGGUCAGAGCGAUCAAAUCCUUAAAGGUCACGAUAGACGUCUUGAUUCAAUUUUCUAAGGCUUUACCAAUCCACACCUCAUUGCGCGGCGAAAACUACAGGAUCAUUUGAAGAUAUAAGUUAUCUGGCGUCUGAGAGAGACGCACUGGUGCUAGAAUCAGUUUCCUUGUUUUCCUGCACAGAUCACGGCUGUCAUGCUGGAUUUUGGUCUGAAUGAUAUCCGAGGAUUGGAUCAUCUUCAGGGUAAUCCUCGAUAACCGGUCCAGACAGCGGUUUGCCGGAAAUGGAGAGCAGCGAAGUACCCUGGUGAUUUUUACAGUCCGCUCUUACGUUCUUUCUGGAAGAUAAUGAUUACGGAGUGGCAACUCUGAAGUCGUUAAAGCCUUGUCGCACACUGGAGGGGUCCCGGAGGAAAGGACGAGGAGGAGAAGGGAAGGAAGAGGAGGAAGAGAAGGGAAUUAGAAGGAAGAGGGCCAAAAGGGUUGGAUCAGCUUUGAACACUGAAACCUUUUGAUGCUUGUCUUAAGUGAGUUGGCCCUCACCUUUGGAGAUUUGCUCGUCACUCUUCAUCGAGAGGUUGCUUGUUUCCCAAUGCCCCGGGAAAGACAGCUUGCAGCAGUGUCACCUUAAAGGUUAACGUGGUAAAGUGAGAGGGAAAAUAAGCCCAGAAAGAUGGUUGCACUGGCUCAGUUAAAUGGGACCAAGAAUUACAUCAUCUUAAUUGAUAACAGCUGGAUGGCACUCAUCCUUGAUGAGAAAAAUCUUGAUACAUGCUAUAUGUUUGUAGAGUAUCCAGAAAAAUAAAUUCCACAAUUUGGCAAUUUCA
This is a long non-coding RNA of Ornithorhynchus anatinus (platypus), 1218 nucleotides long. RefSeq lists it as uncharacterized. The transcript is spliced from 4 exons. NCBI's taxonomy places the organism in Eukaryota, Metazoa, Chordata, Mammalia, Monotremata, Ornithorhynchidae. The record is from RefSeq and is a predicted model, not a curated record.